RNAcentral lists this long non-coding RNA (877 nucleotides) under Citrus sinensis (sweet orange). RNAcentral's name for it is "long non-coding RNA (CSIN_LNC001461)". Lineage: Eukaryota; Viridiplantae; Streptophyta; Magnoliopsida; Sapindales; Rutaceae. The record is from RNAcentral.
CCGGAGCUUGCUUUUCAAGAAUUUGAAACGAGCAGGCUCUUGAGGGCCGAGUUGGAUCGGAUGGAGAUUGGAUACAAAUACCCGUUGGCCAAAACAGGUAUCCGGGCAUGGGUCGGGACAGGCGGCCCGCCGUUUGUUGCCCUCCGAGCUGACAUGGAUGCACUUCCGAUUCAGGUUUUUUUUUUUUAAAAAAAAAAUUAGUUUUAUGUUUAGUUCCCGAAGAACAUAUUAGUAUAUUCAUGCAUGUGUCAUAUACAUGUAUGUAUGAGCUUGCAUCAUGCAUGCAUGUAAUUGGAUAUACUGGUGGGUGGAAAUUGAUUUGGGAACGCCUCAAAUUUGGAAAUGUGAAUAUUUUUAAUUUUUGAGAAAUUGUUGAAAUAAUUUCUCUUCUCCUUCUUCUCUUUUUUUUUUUUUUUUGUCCAAAACCUUAAUUCACGUCAUAUUAUUUUCAUUAUUAUUAUUAUUAUUAUUUUGUGUCAGCUUCCUGUUAUUUUAGUUCCAUUUAUUGUGAAUUUGUAUUUUCAACUACUUCCCCGAAUUAACAAAAAUAAAAAUAAAAUUUUUCAUUUGUUCUUAAAUAAAAUUAUUCAUAAUAUUUUUCGAUCCUUUUUUAUUACUGAGACGAUAAUUUCUUAUUUUCAUAAAACUUGUCGUUUUACUAAUCGUUUACGUAAUCUUAUCGAUAUCCAUCAUUUAUCUGUCAGAGUAGAUGAGAUCUCAAAAUGUACUUUAUAUUUGUACUUAAAAAUCAUGUGAAUCAAGACAGAGGGGCAAAAAAAAGCACCUGAAGUGAGAAUUGUCUCGGCAGAAUAUUCCUUGAUUUUAAGCUUCUUAUGAACAAAUAUACAAAGGGAGUUAGUUGGCAUGCCACUGAUUG